UACGUAGGGGGCGAGCGUUGUCCGGAUUUAUUGGGCGUAAAGAGCUCGUAGGCGGUUUGGUAAGUUGGAUGUGAAAUCUCCAGGCUCAACUUGGAGGGGUCAUUCGAUACUGCCACGACUAGAGUUCGGUAGGGGAGUGUGGAAUUCCUGGUGGAGCGGUGAAAUGCGCAGAUAUCAGGAGGAACACCCGUAGCGAAGGCGGCACUCUGGGCCGGAACUGACGCUGAGGAGCGAAAGCGUGGGGAGCGAACAGG
This 254-nucleotide ribosomal RNA is filed under the name uncultured bacterium. Its description in RNAcentral is "partial 16S ribosomal RNA". It matches the Rfam family "Bacterial small subunit ribosomal RNA", at positions 524 to 776 of the family's 1533-position model. The record is from RNAcentral.